AAACCAGCACCUCAAGUGGUCAGGAUGAUUAUUGGGCCUAAAGCAUCCGUAGCCGGCUCUGUAAGUUUUCGGUUAAAUCUGUACGCUUAACGUACAGGCUGUCGGGAAUACUGCAGAGCUAGGGAGUGGGAGAGGUAGACGGUACUCGGGAGGAAGUGGUAAAAUGCUUUGAUCUCUCGAUGACCACCUGUGGCGAAGGCGGUCUACCAGAACACGUCCGACGGUGAGGGAUGAAAGCUGGGGGAGCAAACCGGAUUAGAUACCCGGGUAGUCC
Molecule: ribosomal RNA, 274 nt
Filed under: uncultured bacterium
Lineage: Bacteria
Description: partial 16S ribosomal RNA
Rfam family: Archaeal small subunit ribosomal RNA
Source: RNAcentral